Chiloscyllium plagiosum (whitespotted bambooshark) is the source of this 2740-nucleotide RNA transcript. RefSeq lists it as uncharacterized. Lineage: Eukaryota; Metazoa; Chordata; Chondrichthyes; Orectolobiformes; Hemiscylliidae. The record is from RefSeq and is a predicted model, not a curated record.
AAAGCACGAAAAAGAUACAUUGUUAAGAUGUAUGUACAAGAAUGGAAUGUACCUAGGGAUAAUGAAAGAAGUUACAAAGGGGAACAUUGAGAUAAGAGUUUAGCCUUUUGACAGCACGUGCAAGGGGGAAAUUGCCAACUUGGAAAGAAAGGGGCAAUGGGUGUGGAGCAUAGAUAGGUAGAGGCGAAAUAGUAAGAGAGAUUGGGUAAUUAGGAGUCUGGAGAGAUGACCUCACUCAGUUCAAAGGGUAUAACUAUACACUAACCUAAGUUCUAAUUUGCUUUUAUUUGCUUAUGCAAUUGAAGCCCUUACUUGCAAGUUCGUAAUAAAUUGUCUUGUUUCCAGCUUUGGUGGUCUCCUCUAAAUUUUAUUGAAUUUUGUUUCUAACACUACUGAGGUUGUUCAUCUCAGAAAAGGUUUUCUUCAGUCCUAUCUGAACUGGUGCAUCCUCAGAGAGGGUUUUACUCAGUCCGUGCUGAGCUAGUACAUCCUCAGGGAAGGUUUUUUUCCCCAUUUCCUGUUGAGCUCGUGCAUCUUCAGAGGGUUUUAUCCAGUCCCUGCUGAGCUCGCGCAUCCUUAGAGAAGGUUCUUCCCUGACCCCAUUGGGUCCGUGCAUUCUCAGGAAGAGCUUUCUGCCAUCGCUCCAAGGCACGUGCAACCUCAGAGACGGUUGGAGAUGGGCCACGGUAGCAGCGCGAGCAAGAAGGACUCGCGCUCUCGUCUCUCCGGCCUCGGGCGUCACGUGCACGAGCACUGGGCCUGGCGCGCAUGCGCACAAGCCUCCCUCCUAAUCCGGCCGUGAUCCGGGAGGCCGAACAGUGAUGAGGUGACGGGAGUCGGCGGAGUGUCCGAGUGAAGUGGAAUUUUCCUUCACAUUUCCUUCAUGUUCCCUGGAUGCUUCAGCAAGUUUAUAAAGUGAGAAGCUGGUUUAGAUGAAGAAGAUUCGUUGCCUGUGCUUCAUCAGCUGAUCUUACCUUUGGUGGUGGCAGAGGUGAUGCAAUUGCUCAAAUUACUUCUGACAGACAGGAAUAAAAACCACUUGAAAGAGGUACAGGAACGUGAUUGGAAUUCUUGGAAUCAUUUCCCAGCAAAACGUAAAUUACAGAGAAUUUGUAUAAAGUCUACAGCACAAAAUUAAGCCAUUUGGACCACUAGUCUACACUGGUGUUUACAUUCCAAAUGAGUGGACUACAAUGUCUGCAUGCCUAUUUGAAGGUGCUGACUGACCACAACAAAAUCAUGGGUGAAACAGAAUAACAAAGAAUCUCAGUCGCUCCAUGUUCUGUUUGAAUUUUUCCUGAAGACCAGAUGACGGAUGUUCCAGUACUCAACACUCCAAACAAUACACCAUGAAAAGAUUGCAGGACUUAAUUUUGAGAAAAACUUUCAGACACACCACCAAUCAAGCACAAGUAUAAAAGAAAACCUACUUUCAACACAUCAGCAAACUAAAGUGUCAUGCCCAAUCAAACAGCCAGCAGCCCCCCUGACAGUAACCACGGUGCAUCAAUCUUAGGAUUCAUGCUGAUUCCUGUUACAGUCAUAGCAGUCAUUGGCAUUGCAGUUAUAGUGAUAAAGUAUGUUCGAAAGAGACGCAGGUUAGAAAAACUACGCAACAAACUAGUGCCAAUUUACUCAUAUGACCCCAGUGAGGAUCGUAAUGAUGUGGAAGAAGAAUCUUUAGAUCACAGUGGAGAAGUGAAAGAUAGUCAAGAACCUUCAGAUGAGAAAGCAAACAGACUGGAUGAUAGCCAUGUCUCCACCUCCAAUACUGACAAUGUGAUUUGAACCAAAUAUUGGUAACCAAAAUGCAGGUUGGUAGUUGAGGAUAUGGAUGAAUUCUUCUGCUUCUGAGAGUCCAAAUGUCCCAUAUGUCAACACAAACAGAAGGUGCACUACAUGAAAAACAAUGUUUGAACAUUUGAGGGUUUGAAUUUUACUGAUGCUGUCGUCACAUAACAGAUCACCUGUUAGAAUCAUCUACAUACUCCUGGUGUAGAACUAAACAGCCAUAAGAAUAACUAUUUUUACAAUGGUUUUUGAAUUAAAAUUGCCAGAUUGUGGCACUAUAUUUGUUGCAAAGCUGGAUCUUUCAACAAUAUAUUUGUGUAUUGAAAUUAUAUACAAGUAAACCAAAGGAAUGGAGGUUAAUUAUGUGAGAUUUUACUUGUUUUCUUGUGUAUAUUUGUGUUUGAAAAUGUGUGUAUUUUUUUUUACUUCAGACAAAGUUUGUGGCAAUAUUUGGAUCAAGUGGAGUGUUUAGAGAUCUAUCCUGAAGCCAUGUGGGUACAAUUCAUUGAAUGAAUGUUCCCAUUGAUAUGUUUAUAUCUGAAACUGUCAAAACUGGUGAAAUCUAGUGCUCAGACUAAGAAUUUAUUUGUAAAUAUGAUUCUAAACCUACACAUCUCAGAGUUUCAAAGAUGACAAAAUAAUGAGCAGGAGUGCAAAUAGGAAGUGAAAAGUUUUGUGAGGUAGAUUAUUAAUCUUCUGGGUCACAACUGACAUAGUUUAGAUAUGCCAUUUAUCACUGAUAUCUAAUUUUACUUCCAUAAGCCCCUUGCUUGCUCAAAUAAGAUGUGUGCAUUUCAAAUCCCUAUAAAACAUGUCUGUUAUGUCAUUCAGUGCAGUUUAUCUAAUGAGAUGCACAAUUCCCCUAAAUUCAUGCCAGCCCACUUUUGAAUCGGUAAAUUUUUUAUCGUUUAUUCACAAUCUAACUAAACACACCUUUGUGCAGAAAAGA